This 88-nucleotide microRNA precursor is filed under the name Branchiostoma floridae (Florida lancelet). RNAcentral's name for it is "mir-2060 microRNA precursor family". It matches the Rfam family "mir-2060 microRNA precursor family". The record is from Rfam by way of RNAcentral. Lineage: Eukaryota; Metazoa; Chordata; Leptocardii; Amphioxiformes; Branchiostomatidae.
CACCUUGUGUAUGUAUGGUGUUCAGCACUAAGGACAGGCAUGUUUGUGUGAGUAUGGUGUUCAACACCAAGGACAAGUAUGUUUACUU